UUAACGGAGAGUUUGAUCCUGGCUCAGGACGAACGCUGGCGGCGUGCCUAAUACAUGCAAGUCGAGCGGACAGAAGGGAGCUUGCUCCCGGACGUUAGCGGCGGACGGGUGAGUAACACGUGGGCAACCUGCCCCUUAGACUGGGAUAACUCCGGGAAACCGGAGCUAAUACCGGAUAAUCCCUUUCUCCACCUGGAGAGAGGGUGAAAGAUGGCUUCGGCUAUCACUAGGGGAUGGGCCCGCGGCGCAUUAGCUAGUUGGUAAGGUAACGGCUUACCAAGGCGACGAUGCGUAGCCGACCUGAGAGGGUGAUC
Molecule: ribosomal RNA, 314 nt
Filed under: Shouchella clausii
Lineage: Bacteria; Bacillati; Bacillota; Bacilli; Caryophanales; Bacillaceae
Description: bacterial SSU rRNA
Rfam family: Bacterial small subunit ribosomal RNA
Source: RNAcentral